RNAcentral lists this ribosomal RNA (800 nucleotides) under uncultured bacterium. Its description in RNAcentral is "bacterial SSU rRNA". It matches the Rfam family "Bacterial small subunit ribosomal RNA", at positions 8 to 815 of the family's 1533-position model. The record is from RNAcentral.
AGAGUUUGAUCAUGGCUCAGGAUAAACGCUGGCGGCGCACAUAAGACAUGCAAGUCGAACGAACUUAACUCAUUCUUUUAGUUUGAGAGCGGUUAGUGGCGGACUGGUGAGUAACACGUAAGCAACCUGCCUAUUAGAGGGGAAUAACAGUGAGAAAUCAUUGCUAAUACCGCAUAUGCUAACAGUAUCGCGUGAUACAGUUAGGAAAGGAGUCAUCCGCUAAUAGAUGGGCUUGCGUCUGAUUAGCUAGUUGGUGGGGUAACGGCCUACCAAGGCGACGAUCAGUAGCCGGACUGAGAGGUUGAACGGCCACAUUGGGACUGAGAUACGGCCCAGACUCCUACGGGAGGCAGCAGUCGGGAAUAUUGCGCAAUGGAGGAAACUCUGACGCAGUGACGCCGCGUAUAGGAAGAAGGUUUUCGGAUUGUAAACUAUUGUCGUUAGGGAAGAUACAAGACAGUACCUAAGGAGGAAGCCCCGGCUAACUAUGUGCCAGCAGCCGCGGUAAUACAUAGGGGGCAAGCGUUAUCCGGAAUUAUUGGGUGUAAAGGGUGCGUAGACGGAGGAGCAAGUUGGUUGUGAAAUCCCUCGGCUUAACUGAGGAACUGCAACCAAAACUACUUCCCUUGAGUGUCGGAGAGGAAAGUGGAAUUCCUAGUGUAGCGGUGAAAUGCGUAGAUAUUAGGAGGAACACCAGUGGCGAAGGCGACUUUCUGGACGAUAACUGACGUUGAGGCACGAAAGUGUGGGGAGCAAACAGGAUUAGAUACCCUGGUAGUCCACACUGUAAACGAUGGAUA